ACCCGGUUAGCUCAAUGGUAGAGCGUCUCUCUUACAAAGAGCGGGUUGAAGGUUCAAGUCCUUCAUCGGGUACCA
This 75-nucleotide transfer RNA is filed under the name Candidatus Obscuribacterales bacterium. RNAcentral describes it as "tRNA-Val". It matches the Rfam family "tRNA". Rfam says of the family: Transfer RNA (tRNA) molecules are approximately 80 nucleotides in length. Their secondary structure includes four short double-helical elements and three loops (D, anti-codon, and T loops). Lineage: Bacteria; Bacillati; Candidatus Melainabacteria; Candidatus Obscuribacterales. The record is from RNAcentral.